RNAcentral lists this transfer RNA (87 nucleotides) under Microbispora rosea subsp. rosea. Its description in RNAcentral is "tRNA-Val". Lineage: Bacteria; Bacillati; Actinomycetota; Actinomycetes; Streptosporangiales; Streptosporangiaceae. The record is from RNAcentral.
UCGGCCGGGUGCACGAAUGGUUCGAGCGCCGCCCUGACGCGGCGGUACACGCGGUGACGGAGAUGUUCGGCGGCGUCUCCGUCCGGU